GGAGGUGUAGCUCAGUGGUAGAGCACCUGCCUGGCAUAUACAAGGUCCUAGGUUCAAUCCCAGCAUCUUCC
This 71-nucleotide transfer RNA is filed under the name Cavia porcellus (domestic guinea pig). It matches the Rfam family "tRNA". Rfam says of the family: Transfer RNA (tRNA) molecules are approximately 80 nucleotides in length. Their secondary structure includes four short double-helical elements and three loops (D, anti-codon, and T loops). The record is from Rfam by way of RNAcentral. Lineage: Eukaryota; Metazoa; Chordata; Mammalia; Rodentia; Caviidae.